RNAcentral lists this unclassified non-coding RNA (682 nucleotides) under Hevea brasiliensis (rubber tree). The record is from RNAcentral. Lineage: Eukaryota; Viridiplantae; Streptophyta; Magnoliopsida; Malpighiales; Euphorbiaceae.
AAGGUUUGAUGAAUCGUUUAUCAACGAGAAUGCGAUCAAUGCCAUCAAAUCACUAUUUGGCAUAUUCAACAAGGAAUAGAACUGUCAAUUGGCCUCAUAGAGUAUAGGAUUCAACUUGGUCAUUAUACACAAUGAGUCACAAGAAGCUAGUUAUUGGCAAGAUGACCCAGACCACCUACUGCUUCAGAUAAAAAGUUUCUCCUGUAUGAUUUUGUUCAUAGCAUUACUUUCUGGUGAGUUUGAAGAAAUUCACCCUAAUUUAUCAUGGGAAGUUGCUUUUUACUAUUCUUUCUCAGAACAUAGUCUGUAAUAUGUAGUCCUCUUGACAGGAAUGAUUGAAGAGAAUUAAGCUGGAAAGCAAAUGUUUCAUUUGUGCAUCUUGAUUAAUCAAAAUUGAACUGCUCAUGGAGCAAAUGCUCCCUCCUGCAUAUGAAUACCUAAAGACAUACGAGUGGUAUUUGAUUGAAAUGACAUGGCAUACAAGUAGCAGCCCUCUGCUCAAGCUGACUAAAAAUAAAGGUUCAAAUUCUGAUAAAAAUGUUGUACUUACAAGAGUAAUCUUUUGUUUGUCUAAGACUGACUAAAAGUGAAGAUUCAAAUUCUUAUAAAUAAUAACAUAAUGGUGCCGCUAAAUAACAUAGCGAUAUCGUACCCUUCGUUUGUUUGGAUCCUUAACUUGGCA